RNAcentral lists this unclassified non-coding RNA (375 nucleotides) under soil metagenome. RNAcentral's name for it is "partial contains 5.8S ribosomal RNA, internal transcribed spacer 2, and large subunit ribosomal RNA". The stretch from base 1 to 120 matches the Rfam family "5.8S ribosomal RNA", at positions 35 to 154 of the family's 154-position model. The record is from RNAcentral.
GAUGAAGAACGUAGCGAAAUGCGAUAAGUAAUGUGAAUUGCAGAAUUCAGUGAACCACCGAAUCUUUGAACGCACAUUGCGCCCGGCAGUAAUCUGCCGGGCAUGCCUGUCCGAGCGUCAUUUCUCCCCUCGAGCGCAGCUUUCCCCCCCGGGGGAGGGCCGCGCCCGGUGUUGGGGCGCUACGGAGGAGCCCAGCGCUCCCCCGUAGGCCCCGAAAUGUAGUGGCGGUCCCGCCGCGGCGCCCCCUGCGUAGUAGUUUUACAACUCGCAUCGGGUCCCGGCGGAGGCCAGCCGUCAAACCCCCCAACUUCAAUAGUUUGACCUCGGAUCAGGUAGGGUUACCCGCUGAACUUAAGCAUAUCAAUAAGCGGAGGA